Molecule: long non-coding RNA, 1632 nt
Organism: Phascolarctos cinereus (koala)
Lineage: Eukaryota; Metazoa; Chordata; Mammalia; Diprotodontia; Phascolarctidae
Source: Ensembl
AUGCACGGCCCAGGGAGAAGAGAACGGGACCGCCCUUGGAAGACUCCCAUCCUGAGACCCUGAGGGAGAGGAGAGGGCGGGAAAUGCCCCCCCACUUCCGCUUCCUUUUCCUUCCUGCCUGGUUGUGGCCUCGUUCCUGCCCCAGCGCCUGGUCCUGGGAUUGACCUCGGUCGCAGAGCCGAGGCCCAAUCCAUUCCUCUGUGCAUUUCGAUGGAAGAAAGUUUUAAGAAAGCGCCUUCCUUGAGCAAUGGAAAGGGCAUGGAAUUCGGAGUCAUGGCCUGGUCCCACACUCAAUAUCUUCAAAUAUCUCAGACCCAAGGUGAGAAAUGUUGCAAAACUACAAGUUACUGUAGGGAACCUGUCAGAGGAAUUCCAGAGGGAUCAGCUUCAGUCAAUAUCUACUUCCCUUGCCCUCCACUGACUUUGCUGCUACCAGCUGAUAAUUCCUUAUGUUGUACUUACCUGUUGUCAUUCUCACCUCUCAGCAAUUGGAGGACUUGCUGCUUUGCUAUUAGAGCUUAAAUCUGCACUAAGAUUUUUUGUACACCUUGUAUAAGAAGGAUGUUUAAAAUGUUAGUAGAACUUUGCUUUUGGCAGCAUAUGGCUUUCUAUUUUGUGCCUGCUUGAUAAUAGUAGAGGAUUGAUCACUUAGAGGUAAAUAUAGCUGCAGAUGUAAUUGUGUGAGACCCAAGAACAAAUGAACCCUGCUCCCAAAAGUGACCCUAAAACUUAAUUUUUUAUUUCUUAGCUGUAAGAUGAAGGGUUUGGCUAGAUAAUCUCUCAGAGCCCUAUCAUCUCCAAAUCCUAUGAUCUGUCAGCUUAUUUAGCUCAUUUGCUUCUCUUACCCCAUGGUAAGUCAAGUGUAUGUUUUACCUGAUCUCCUGGAUGAUGAACUUUCAUGGGCUUUAUAUCAAGGUGCAUGGCAAGCAGCUAUUUGCCUCUUUGUUGCCCAGCUCAGUCUUCCAAGAUGCACACAUACACAGGAGUGAAGAUCAUAGGGUUUAGAACUGCAGGUAUUUUAGACAGAAAAGAUGACAGAAAUAGCCAUAUGGGGGAGUGGAAAUGAAUACUGGAAUAAGAGGUAGAAGAUCUGAGUUUUAUCUCAGUUCUUUGAAAUUCAGUUUGUUAUUUUUAUAUGUUUUUUAUAUUCAGUUCAGUUCAAAGUGUGACAUUGGACAAAUGACUUCACCUCUCUGAGCUUCAGUUUCCUUAAAUGGAGGGUGAUCCCUAUAAAAUGGGCAUCCUAUCCAAUGUUUUGUGUUGAUCUGCAUUAUGCUCUUCCUUUGAGAAAUAACUUUACCUGAACAUAUUUGGAAUAUAUAUGCAUUUCUCAAAAUUGAUAGUUUUGUAUCUUUUGUGCAACAUAAGAUUGUUUCCUUUAUGCCAGUUCUACUUUUUUGUUCUCCAAGGGAAUUUAUAAACAGACUCAAAGUUUUGUAGCAACUUAAUUUUAAAAAAAUUUAUUGCAUUGACCAAAAAGUUUCACAUUUUUCCUGUGAGUACAUUAACUUCCAAAUUGUUAAAAAGUUUAUUUUGUUUUUUUUAAAGUUGCAAAUCUGUAUUCAAUUGUGUAUGAAAAUUGGUUACAAAUCAUACCCUUAAAAAUAAACUCAUUAAAAAUGUAAAAUAGCA